Molecule: long non-coding RNA, 586 nt
Organism: Oncorhynchus keta (chum salmon)
Lineage: Eukaryota; Metazoa; Chordata; Actinopteri; Salmoniformes; Salmonidae
Exons: 3
Source: RefSeq, a predicted model, not a curated record
ACAGACAAAUGGGUUUAGGGUCAGAGCUAACUAUGCGCGUGUUAGAUAUCUUAUCUAGACAACUGAAGCUAUUAAUCAAUUGUUAAGAGUAUUUGGUUUUGGAUUGGUUUCAUUUGUCUGUAUUGGUUUGAAUCGGUUUGGUGAAUCAACUGAGGACCAGAGAGGAACAAUAACAUGAACAGAUGAAACAUGUUUGUUUUGUUUUGGUAGUAAUCUAAAAACCCGUAAACACAUACUGGCAAUGCAAAACGUCAGAAGACAUUUAACAUGUUUGUUUUGUUUUUGGUAGUAAUCUAAAAACCCGUAAACACAUACUGGCAAUGCAAAACGUCAGAAGACAUUUAACAUGUUUGUUUUGUUUUGGUAGUAAUCUAAAAACCCGUAAACACAUACUGGCAAUGCAAAACGUCAGAAGACAUUUAACAGGUUUGUUUUGUUUUUGUAGUAAUCUAAAAACCCGUAAACACAUACUGGCAAUGCAAAACGUCAGAAGACAUUUAACAUGUUUGCCCUGAAGUUUAGUAUGUUCAACAUUGCAAUGCAAUGGGAUACAUACAUGUGCCGAAGUCCCACUCCUUGGUGAUGU